AUUCAGGGAAAACAUUCAACUCUUCCAUGAGGCCAAGACUCUCAGAAGAGAGUGCUUAAAGAUAAUACAAGUGCGGACGAGUGAUGGUUGAGCUCCAGUCUCCUUUCUUGAGAAUAACACGAGGCACAGACCAAGCAACAGACCAAGGAAGAGAGAAGAUGCUAAGCAGUAAUGGCACAACAACGCUAUGGCAGUAGGAAAGCAUAGCCACUAUUCAAGAGAUAGCUAAGCAGGAGAGAUUGUGGCAGCAAAUCAUUGGGACAAGUGGAAAAUCCAUUGGAAUACAUAUAUCUAUGGUAAACAGAACAAGG
This is a long non-coding RNA of Symphalangus syndactylus (siamang), 311 nucleotides long. RefSeq lists it as uncharacterized. Lineage: Eukaryota; Metazoa; Chordata; Mammalia; Primates; Hylobatidae. The record is from RefSeq and is a predicted model, not a curated record.